Molecule: transfer RNA, 72 nt
Filed under: Bacteroidota bacterium
Lineage: Bacteria; Pseudomonadati; Bacteroidota
Also listed under: 2 other names
Description: Bacteroidetes bacterium tRNA-Arg
Rfam family: tRNA
About the family: Transfer RNA (tRNA) molecules are approximately 80 nucleotides in length. Their secondary structure includes four short double-helical elements and three loops (D, anti-codon, and T loops). Further hydrogen bonds mediate the characteristic L-shaped molecular structure. tRNAs have two regions of fundamental functional importance: the anti-codon, which is responsible for specific mRNA codon recognition, and the 3' end, to which the tRNAs corresponding amino acid is attached (by aminoacyl-tRNA synthetases). tRNAs cope with the degeneracy of the genetic code in two manners: having more than one tRNA (with a specific anti-codon) for a particular amino acid; and 'wobble' base-pairing, i.e. permitting non-standard base-pairing at the 3rd anti-codon position.
Source: RNAcentral
GGUUUCGUAGUUCAACGGAUAGAAUAGAAGUUUCCUAAACUUUUGAUCCCAGUUCGAUUCUGGGCGAGACCA